GCAGUCGAGCGGUAGCACAGAGAGCUUGCUCUCGGGUGACGAGCGGCGGACGGGUGAGUAAUGUCUGGGAAACUGCCUGAUGGAGGGGGAUAACUACUGGAAACGGUAACUUAUACCGCAAAAUGUCGCAAGACCAAAGUGGGGGACCUUCGGGCCUCAUGCCAUCAGAUGUGCCCAGAUGGGAUUAGCUAGUAAGUGGGGUAACGGCUCACCUAAGCAACUAUCCCUAGCUGGUCUGAGAGGAUCACCAGCCACACUGGAACUGAGACACGGUCCACACUCCUACGGGAGGCAUCAGUGGGGAAUAUUGCAGAAUGGGCGCAUGCCUGAUGCAUCCAUGCCGCGUGUGUGAAGAAUGCCUUCGGGUUGUAAAGCACUUUCAGCGGGGAGGAAGGCGUUCAGGUUAAUAACCUUGGCGAUUGACGUUACCCGCACAAGAAGCACCGGCUAACUCCGUGCCAGCAGCCGCGGUAAUACGGAGGGUGCAAGCGUUAAUCGGAAUUACUGGGCGUAAAGCGCACGCAGGCGGUCUGUCAAGUCAGAUGUGAAAUCCCCGGGCUCAACCUGGGAACUGCAUUCUAAACUGGCAUGCUAGAGUCUUGUAGAGGGGGGUAGAAUUCCGGGUGUAGCGGUGAAAUGCGUAGAGAUCUGGAGGAAUACCGGUCGCGAAAGCAGCCCCCUGGACAAACACAGACGCUCAGGUGCGAAAGCGUGGGGAGCAUACAGGAUUAGAUACCCUGGUACUCCACGCCGUAAACGAUGUCGAUUUGGAGGUUGUGCCCUUGAGGCGUGGCUUCCGGAGCUAACGCGUUAAAUCGACCGCCUGGGGAAUACGGCCGCAGGUUAAAACUCAGAUGAAUUGACGGGGGCCCGCACAAGCGGU
RNAcentral lists this ribosomal RNA (883 nucleotides) under Klebsiella pneumoniae. RNAcentral describes it as "bacterial SSU rRNA". It matches the Rfam family "Bacterial small subunit ribosomal RNA", at positions 58 to 933 of the family's 1533-position model. Lineage: Bacteria; Pseudomonadati; Pseudomonadota; Gammaproteobacteria; Enterobacterales; Enterobacteriaceae. The record is from RNAcentral.